This 430-nucleotide ribosomal RNA is filed under the name uncultured bacterium. RNAcentral describes it as "bacterial SSU rRNA". It matches the Rfam family "Bacterial small subunit ribosomal RNA", at positions 355 to 776 of the family's 1533-position model. The record is from RNAcentral.
UGGGGAAUAUUGCACAAUGGGCGAAAGCCUGAUGCAGCAACGCCGCGUGAGUGAAGAAGGCCUUCGGGUUGUAAAGCUCUUUCGACAGGAAAGAAGGGCAACUGGGUAAACAAUCCAGUUGUUUGACGGUACCUGGAGAAGAAGCACCGGCUAAUUCCGUGCCAGCAGCCGCGGUAAUACGGAAGGUGCGAGCGUUGUUCGGAUUUACUGGGCGUAAAGGGCGCUACGGCGGAUUCAUAAGUCAGUUGUGAAAUCCCUAGGCUUAACCUGGGAAUUGCAGUUGAAACUAUGAACCUUGAAUACCAGAGAGGGUGGGGGAAUUCCUGGUGGAGAAGUGAAAUUCGUAGAUAUCAGGAGGAACACCGGAGGCGAAGGCGCCUACCUGGCUGGCUAUUGACGCUGAGGCGCGAAAGCGUGGGGAGCAAACAGG